CAGAGUUGCAAACUCCCAACCCUUUGUGAACGUACUGAAAAGUUGCUUCGGCGGGAGGCUCCUCAGGGAGCGGACCGCCGGAGGAAUCCAAACUCUUGUUUUUUUGCAUCUCUGAGUAGCUUAUAAAUAAGUUA
Molecule: unclassified non-coding RNA, 134 nt
Filed under: soil metagenome
Description: partial internal transcribed spacer 1
Source: RNAcentral